GAUGAACGCUGGCGGCGUGCCUAAUACAUGCAAGUCGAGCGAACGGACGAGAAGCUUGCUUCUCUGAUGUUAGCGGCGGACGGGUGAGUAACACGUGGAUAACCUACCUAUAAGACUGGGAUAACUUCGGGAAACCGGAACUAAUACCGAAUGAUAUUUUGAACCGCAUGGUUCAAAAGUGAAAGACGGUCUUGCUGUCACUUAUAGAUGGAUCCGCGCUGCAUUAGCUAGUUGGUAAGGUAACGGCUUACCAAGGCAACGAUGCAUAGCCGACCUGAGAGGGUGAUCGGCCACACUGGAACUGAGACACGGUCCAGACUCCUACGGGAGGCAGCAGUAGGGAAUCUUCCGCAAUGGGCGAAAGCCUGACGGAGCAACGCCGCGUGAGUGAUGAAGGUCUUCGGAUCGUAAAACUCUGUUAUUAGGGAAGAACAUAUGUGUAAGUAACUGUGCACAUCUUGACGGUACCUAAUCAGAAAGCCACGGCUAACUACGUG
This 497-nucleotide ribosomal RNA is filed under the name uncultured bacterium. Its description in RNAcentral is "partial 16S ribosomal RNA". It matches the Rfam family "Bacterial small subunit ribosomal RNA", at positions 28 to 507 of the family's 1533-position model. The record is from RNAcentral.